This 654-nucleotide ribosomal RNA is filed under the name Exophiala sp. 3 TMS-2011. RNAcentral's name for it is "eukaryotic LSU rRNA". The stretch from base 262 to 416 matches the Rfam family "5.8S ribosomal RNA". Lineage: Eukaryota; Fungi; Ascomycota; Eurotiomycetes; Chaetothyriales; Herpotrichiellaceae. The record is from RNAcentral.
UCUUGGUCAUUUAGAGGAAGUAAAAGUCGUAACAAGGUCUUCGUAGGUGAACCUGCGGAGGGAUCAUUACCGAGUUAGGGUCCUCACAGGCCCGACCUCCCAACCCAUUGUUUAUGAUACUCAGUGUUGCUUCGGCAGGCCUGGUCUUUGACCUGCCGGAGGGCCGUAACACGCCCCCCGGAGAGCGCCUGCCGACGGCCCCAACUUCAAAAUUCUUAACUAAACAUGUCUUUGUCUAAGUAAAGUCUUUAAUAAAAGCAAAACUUUCAACAACGGAUCUCUUGGUUCUGGCAUCGAUGAAGAACGCAGCGAAAUGCGAUAAGUAAUGCGAAUUGCAGAAUUCUCGUGAGUCAUCGAAUCUUUGAACGCACAUUGCGCCCUUUGGUAUUCCGAAGGGCAUGCCUGUUCGAGCGUCAUUUUCACCCCUCAAGCCCCCGGCUUGGUGUUGGACGGUUUGGUCCCGGGACCCCCCUGGACCCCUCCCAAAGACAAUGACGGCGGGCUGUCGCACCCCCGGUACACUGAGCAUCUUCACGGAGCACGUACCGGUCUUCAGGGUCGACGGCACCCGGUCUCACACCUAUAUCUUUCAAGGUUGACCUCGGAUCAGGUAGGAAUACCCGCUGAACUUAAGCAUAUCAAUAAGCGGAGGAA